ACAUCGCCUCUUGAACUAAAUAAGAGGUCCAGCCUGCCCAGUGAAAUUAUUCAACGGCCGCGGUAUCCUAACCGUGCGAAGGUAGCGUAAUCACUUGUUCUUUAAAUGAGGACUAGUAUGAAUGGCACCACGAGGGUUCUACUGUCUCCUUUUUUAAAUCAGUGAAACUAAUCUUCCCGUGAAGAAGCGGGAAUUUUUUUAUAAGACGAGAAGACCCUAUGGAGCUUUAAACAAAUGACAUUUGCUUAAUCUAAUAUUUUAUUUUCAAGAAAUAUAGCAUUAUGAUCUUUAGUUUUCGAUUGGGGUGAUCACGGAGAAAAAUUUAACCUCCACGCCGAAAGGGUUUAUUCCCUAAGCAAAAAGCUACAGCUUUAAGCACUAAAAAAUUAACGUAGUUUGAC
RNAcentral lists this ribosomal RNA (401 nucleotides) under Hypsiboas aff. semilineatus AF-2016. RNAcentral's name for it is "partial 16S ribosomal RNA". It matches the Rfam family "Bacterial large subunit ribosomal RNA", at positions 1813 to 2373 of the family's 2925-position model. The record is from RNAcentral. Lineage: Eukaryota; Metazoa; Chordata; Amphibia; Anura; Hylidae.